This is a small nucleolar RNA of Rhineura floridana, 178 nucleotides long. RefSeq annotates it as small nucleolar RNA SNORD97. The record is from RefSeq and is a predicted model, not a curated record. NCBI's taxonomy places the organism in Eukaryota, Metazoa, Chordata, Lepidosauria, Squamata, Rhineuridae. The transcript has a single exon.
AUGCCCAAUGAUUAUAACAAGACGCGUUAUUACGAGGACCAAUGCUGGAACUUCCUUUCUACCUUCUGCCUCUUCACUUUUUUCUCUCACCUCUCCCCCCCCCCUUCUGCCUCUUCCUUUUCCUCUCCCCUUGGAGACUCCAGUGUCCUAUGAGCAAGAUUAUGAGAUAUGAGGGCAA